This 446-nucleotide ribosomal RNA is filed under the name uncultured bacterium. Its description in RNAcentral is "bacterial SSU rRNA". It matches the Rfam family "Bacterial small subunit ribosomal RNA", at positions 28 to 507 of the family's 1533-position model. The record is from RNAcentral.
GAUGAACGCUGGCGGUAUGCCUAACACAUGCAAGUCGUACGAGAGUUUUAAUUCUAGUGGCGGACGGGUGAGUAACACGUGAGAAUUACCUUUAGGAGGGGGAUAACAAUUGGAAACGACUGCUAAUACCCCAUAUUCCUUCUUAUCAUAAGGUAAGUUGGGAAAGAUUUAUUGCUAAAGGAUGGGGCUUUAUGGUAUCAGCUAGUUGGUGGGGUAACGGCCUACCAAGGCUAUGACACCUACCUGGUCUGAGAGGAUGAUCAGGCGCACUGGAACUGAGACACGGUCCAGACUCCUACGGGAGGCAGCAGUGGGGAAUAUUGCACAAUGGAGGAAACUCUGAUGCAGCAACGCCGCGUGGAGGAUGACGCAUUUCGGUGUGUAAACUCCUUUUAUAAGGGAAGAUAAUGACGGUACCUUAUGAAUAAGCACCGGCUAACUCCGUG